GCAGUUGCACGUUGCGGGGCAGUGACUUCGCGAGAGCCGAGCACUGCACGCAAGCACGGAGAUUGCUCGUUCGUGAGGCACCAUACGACGAAGCUCGAGAAGCGGCGCCAAUGCACGACCACAUUCAGAUGAAAUCAGGCUUAAUGUACGACAUGAAUGAAAGCUCACAUAGGGGGUUAAUUUUGAAAGAAGUCCCCCGUCUGAAAGAACAAGGCACACGCCUGAAAGGACACCACUUAGGCGUCCAAGCCCCCGUAGCCACUCGUGAAGCACCUCGGCAAGGAGAAGACGAUUUGUUGCUGGUAUUGUUGGACAACGACCUUACCCUGAUGAAGAUCCUGCUGUUGACGGGGUAAUAGUUUCCAGCCACUGGCUCCUGUAUAUUAACCUUCCACGUCGGCCUGUAAUUUAGGCUGAAAGUAAAAUAAAAUAAAAC
Dermacentor albipictus is the source of this 436-nucleotide long non-coding RNA. RefSeq lists it as uncharacterized. NCBI's taxonomy places the organism in Eukaryota, Metazoa, Arthropoda, Arachnida, Ixodida, Ixodidae. The record is from RefSeq and is a predicted model, not a curated record.